RNAcentral lists this ribosomal RNA (253 nucleotides) under uncultured bacterium. Its description in RNAcentral is "partial 16S ribosomal RNA". It matches the Rfam family "Bacterial small subunit ribosomal RNA", at positions 524 to 776 of the family's 1533-position model. The record is from RNAcentral.
UACGAAGGGGGCUAGCGUUGCUCGGAAUCACUGGGCGUAAAGCGCACGUAGGCGGAUUGCUAAGUCAGGGGUGAAAUCCUGGAGCUCAACUCCAGAACUGCCUUUGAUACUGGCGACCUUGAGUCCGGGAGAGGUGAGUGGAACUGCGAGUGUAGAGGUGAAAUUCGUAGAUAUUCGCAAGAACACCAGUGGCGAAGGCGGCUCACUGGCCCGAUACUGACGCUGAUGCACGAAAGCGUGGGGAGCAAACAGG